RNAcentral lists this ribosomal RNA (513 nucleotides) under uncultured bacterium. Its description in RNAcentral is "partial 16S ribosomal RNA". It matches the Rfam family "Bacterial small subunit ribosomal RNA", at positions 28 to 523 of the family's 1533-position model. The record is from RNAcentral.
GACGAACGCUGGCGGCGUGCCUAAUACAUGCAAGUUGAGCGCUGAAGACUGGUACUUGUACCGGUUGGAUGAGCAGCGAACGGGUGAGUAACGCGUGGGUAACCUGCCCUAUAGAGGGGGAUAACUAGAGGAAACUUUAGCUAAUACCGCAUAAAAUCUAAUAACACAUGUUAUAAGAUUGAAAGUGCCAACUGGUACACUAUAGGAUGGACCCGCGUUGUAUUAGCUAGUUGGUGAGGUAAAGGCUCACCAAGGCGAUGAUACAUAGCCGACCUGAGAGGGGGAUCGGCCACACUGGGACUGAGACACGGCCCAGACUCCUACGGGAGGCAGCAGUAGGGAAUCUUCGGCAAUGGACGAAAGUCUGACCGAGCAACGCCGCGUGAGUGAAGAAGGUUUUCGGAUCGUAAAACUCUGUUGUAAGAGAAGAACACCAGUAAGAGUGGAAAGCUUACUGGCUGACGGUAUCUUACCAGAAAGCCACGGCUAACUACGUGCCAGCAGCCGCCGUAA